GAUGAACGCUGGCGGCGUGCUUAACACAUGCAAGUCGAACGGAAAGGCUCCUGCUUGCAGGGGUACUCGUUUGGCGAACGGGUGAGUAACACGUGGGUGAUCUGCCCUGCACUUCGGGAUAAGCCUGGGGAACUGGGUCUAAUACCGGAUAGGACGAUGUGUUGGAUGCCAUUGUGUAAAGAUUUUCGGUGUUGGAUGAGCUCGCGGCCUAUCAGCUUGUUGGUGGGGUAAUGGCCUACCAAGGCGUCGACGGGUAGCCGGCCUGAGAGGGUGUACGGCCACAUUGGGACUGAGAUACGGACCAGACUCCUACGGGAGGCAGCAGUGGGGAAUAUUGCACAAUGGGCGCAAGCCUGAUGCAGCGACGCCGCGUGGGGGAUGACGGCCUUCGGGUUGUAAACUCCUUUCGCUAGGGACGAAGCGCAAGUGACGGUACCUGGAGAAGAAGCACCGGCUAACUACGUG
RNAcentral lists this ribosomal RNA (465 nucleotides) under uncultured bacterium. RNAcentral's name for it is "partial 16S ribosomal RNA". It matches the Rfam family "Bacterial small subunit ribosomal RNA", at positions 28 to 507 of the family's 1533-position model. The record is from RNAcentral.